This 33-nucleotide non-coding RNA is filed under the name Geobacter sulfurreducens PCA. Lineage: Bacteria; Pseudomonadati; Thermodesulfobacteriota; Desulfuromonadia; Geobacterales; Geobacteraceae. The record is from RNAcentral.
CGGUAGACCUACUGGUGGACUCCGGGCUCUCCC